GCGGGGGUUGCCGAGCGGCCAAAGGCGCGGGGCUUAGGCCCCCGUCCCGCAGGGGUUCGUGGGUUCGAAUCCCACCCCCCGCA
Molecule: transfer RNA, 83 nt
Filed under: Conexivisphaera sp.
Lineage: Archaea; Thermoproteati; Nitrososphaerota; Conexivisphaeria; Conexivisphaerales; Conexivisphaeraceae
Also listed under: 1 other name
Description: tRNA-Leu
Rfam family: tRNA
About the family: Transfer RNA (tRNA) molecules are approximately 80 nucleotides in length.
Source: RNAcentral